UACAGAGGGUGCGAGCGUUGUUCGGAAUUAUUGGGCGUAAAGGGCGCGUAGGCGGUGCCACAAGUCACCUGUGAAAUCCCCGGGCUUAACUCGGGGCCUGCAGGCGAAACUGUGGUGCUGGAGUAUGGGAGAGGUGCGUGGAAUUCCCGGUGUAGCGGUGAAAUGCGUAGAGAUCGGGAGGAACACCGGUGGCGAAGGCGGUCUUCUGGACGGUGACUGACGCUGAGGCGCGAAAGCGUGGGGAGCAAACGGG
Molecule: ribosomal RNA, 253 nt
Filed under: uncultured bacterium
Lineage: Bacteria
Description: partial 16S ribosomal RNA
Rfam family: Bacterial small subunit ribosomal RNA
Source: RNAcentral